UCGAGAAUCUUCGGCAAUGUGCGCAAGCGUGACCGAGCGACGCCGCGUGUGGGAUGAAGGCCUUCGGGUUGUAAACCACUGUCAGUUGGGAGGAAGGCUCCGUGAAGAGCGGAGCUUGACCCAUCUUCAGAGGAAGGCCGGGCUAAGUUCGUGCCAGCAGCCGCGGUAAGACGAACCGGCCAAACGUUAUUCGGAAUCAUUGGGCUUAAAGGGUGCGCAGGCGGUGCUGUAAGUCGGGUGUGAAAUCCCUCAGCUUAACUGAGGAACUGCGCCCGAUACUGCAGUGCUAGAGGGAGACAGAGGUGAGCGGAACUGAUGGUGGAGCGGUGAAAUGCGUUGAUAUCAUCAGGAACACCAGUGGCGAAAGCGGCUCGCUGGGUCUCUUCUGACGCUCAUGCACGAAAGCUAGGGUAGCGAACGGGAUUAGAUACCCCCGUAGUCC
This 442-nucleotide ribosomal RNA is filed under the name uncultured prokaryote. RNAcentral describes it as "bacterial SSU rRNA". It matches the Rfam family "Bacterial small subunit ribosomal RNA", at positions 355 to 796 of the family's 1533-position model. The record is from RNAcentral.